GUAAAUUGAGAAAGUGAAAGAAAAUAACCUCUAAAUACCCGAGUUCCUGGAGAAUGCAGUCUUAGCAUCUUCAAAGGUUUGUAGUAUUUGGGGCAUUCCAGUGCCGGAAACAUCUCUUUUUCCCUCCUUCCGUUGCAUCCCGCUAUUGCUGAUAUUUUCCUGCUAUCAUUAUCUCCUUUCUAUUCCCUUUCUGCCAAAUAUCUAAACCUUAUUAUGCCUCUCACAUAAACUGUGGAUCUGGCACUCGGCCGCCAGGCACAGAAUCGAACAGGAAAAGGGUGAGAGAGGAGAUUGGGGGAGGAUUCUUUAGUUGUAAUGGCCCAAGAGGCUCAAAGGACUCUCAACAGACCCUGUUUCUAUUCCUCAUUUGGGAAUUCUUCCAUUAUAUUUCUCUGUCAUCUUCCGCUCAGUAUAAUAACUCCUGAAAGGUAGAUAACUAUUAAUAGAGUUCGCACAGCACUGCAGUCAUAUGGAUUGCCCCACAGCGCUGUGACUAAGUAGAACUGAUGUCUCUUGUGACAAGCACUUGUGUUGCUGUCAUCCAGGACGUGCAGGCACUCUGCAUAUUACUGAGCGCCGGCCUCCCCCCCUCCCCAUCUCAUUCUCUUUUUUGGACAGCACCACAGCUGUCCCAAAGGGAAUCCAAAAUGAGAGGAUCUGUCAGGGUCUGUUUGCUGCAGGCCUUGAUUUGAUGCUACUGCUCUGAAGGUGGAGAGGCUGUUUCUGUCUCAGUCUGUGGUACUGAGAGCUGCAGGACAACUCUCGCCCCAGGCUUGACCUGGUGGCUCUGAAGCACAUUCCAAACAAACGGAGCUGAUUUUGAUAAAAGAGAGGUGAUAUUCUGUUUUGCAGCUCUGCAUAUAACACUCGCCUCCUGCGAUUCCUCAGCAUACCGUCAUGUUUGUCUAACACUGCCCAAAUAACUAAAUCUUUCUUAUAUUUUUUCUCCCCCUUCAGCCAGAUGUUUCUCAUUCAUUUUUACACAGACACAGCUGCACGUGUAAAUAAUCCAUGAAUGCUCUCGCUAGGAGCGUGGAUGGGGCCAUGUUGUGUGUCUGUGUAAGUAAGUAGCCUGCUUCCUACUCUAAAGCAACAUUCUCCGCUCUUCCAUGGCUCUGAGAGCAACAGAAGGUCUAUUUAGAAAUGCGGAGGUUACUUCUGAACCACAGCCACAACUCCAAUUCAACACAGGUCAUCCGAUCCCAGCAUAGAGGUGGCAUUUUAGUGAAAAGUUGCUUCCUGCUUGGUUGCUAGCCUAGAAAAGGUUUUGGUGGAUCAUCAGACCCCUAAAGCAUCUCUUUCUUCUUAGGUGAAGCUGCACCAACCAAGAGAAAGACUGACAGCCGACCCGCCAAAGAGGUGUGCAAGGAAGUCGACCAGAACAAUAACAAAACUGGAGUCAGAGCCAUAGAGGAGAAGACAGACCCUCAUAAUGGCCAGGCUCUGGCUUGACAAGCUAUGAAAAGUGACAGUGGACGAGUCAUCCAUUAUUUAUAGCAGUGCAGAGCUCAGUUAUUUAUUUUUUCAGCAGCAUGAGCAGCAAGGGAUCAUGGCACAAAACAAGCAGCCAGUCGAGGCCUAUCCAUGUGAUUGUCAGCAGACAGGGAGGCAAGCCCAUGGUGGAGGAAGCCCUGACUAAAGCUGUGCCCGAGUGGGAACCCUCCAUCUCAGACCGGAUUCAUCUGAGUAUGUCCAAGUCCUUCUACCAUCUGAUGUUAUGGGACAAAUACGGAUAUUUAUCACAGCUGAGUGGAGAAGCGUGUGUCUGGUCACGGCUUGGUACAGUAGUGAUGCCACCAACGCAAUGAGGCCUUUUCUGGCGCGCAGGAGCACGCCAUGACAUCAGGAACAGAUGUUGCACAUGGAAAAGAAUCCCUCAGCCUGAUCCCCGGAGAGACUUUCAUUACAGACAAAAACAGAAGUCAUAGGAGGCCGGAAUCGUAUUCUGAUAUUAGGGCAGAGGACAUGGAUUUAAUAUGAGCCUGGAAAUGGUCCUGCCGCCUGCAGAGCAAGCCCCGGGUCUGCUUUGGGCUUUAAUGGCCCUCCUCCUAGUCGUCAAUCACACAUAACGAAAAUGCAUAAUUGCAAAUUUCAAACCAGAGCUGUUGCCUGACGUCAUAUGUUAGAAUGGGAGAGAGGAGACAGGUUUUGAAUUGCAAGUUAGGCAAAUGGAUAACACUGCCUAACAAAGGUAUAUGUGCCUAUGAGUUAUGAGCUUGUACUGCAAGUCAGAGUUAUGGUUGACGCUGAUCAGUUCAACAUUCAAUACUACAAUUACAGUAAAAGCUGGUGUAAUGUUCCUCGUAUGAAUGGAGAUAUAACCUUUGGACUGCUUUGCUAAACAAAAUACACAACAAUACCACAUGCCCUACCUCCUGCAGUGAAUGAUCUUGGUACAGCUGGGAUAUAAUAUAGCAAAUCCCAAGAGACAGUCAAAUAAAAAGGAAUGGUUAAAAGAGAAAAGAAGAUCCUUUAAUAUUCUAGCAUAAAAGAUGAACGAUUCAAGGAAUAGAGUGACAAAUCAUUACUUACUGUCAGUCAGAAGUAUGGGACUUUAACUUUAAAGCUUAACCCUUAAACUGCCUGCUCAACGAAAUGGUGGGGAACAUUUAGAAAACAUAUUUGUAAAAACGUUGAUUGUGUAUUACUCCUCAAGGUAGGGAACCCCUAAAGGGACAUAUACAUAUAAAAAAUUUGAAGUAAAAAAAAAAAAAAAUGUAGUUACUGACUGAUGCGCGAAAGAUAGUAACUGGUGCACACCAGUUAGUAUUUUUCAGAAUGUUUUUUUUUUUUUCUUACAUUUUUAGAAAACCCUUUUUUUCAGUGGCUAUCUGGUGCACAGCAGUUACUAAACCAGAACAUUAUUUUUUCCUAAAAAAUUAAAGUUG
This is a long non-coding RNA of Oryzias melastigma (Indian medaka), 2888 nucleotides long. RefSeq lists it as uncharacterized. The record is from RefSeq and is a predicted model, not a curated record. The transcript has 3 exons. NCBI's taxonomy places the organism in Eukaryota, Metazoa, Chordata, Actinopteri, Beloniformes, Adrianichthyidae.